RNAcentral lists this ribosomal RNA (301 nucleotides) under uncultured bacterium. RNAcentral's name for it is "partial 16S ribosomal RNA". It matches the Rfam family "Bacterial small subunit ribosomal RNA", at positions 509 to 807 of the family's 1533-position model. The record is from RNAcentral.
CAGCCGCCGCGGGAAAACGGAGGGAGCUAGCGUUAUUCGGAAUUACUGGGCGUAAAGCGCACGUAGGCGGUUUGUUAAGUCAGAUGUGUAAUCCCCGAGCUUAACUUGGGAACUGCAUUUGAAACUGGCAAGCUAGAGUCUUGUAGAGGGGGGUAGGAUUCCAGGUGUAGCGGUGAAAUGCGUAGAAAUCUGGAGGAAUACCGGUGGCGAAGGCGGCCCCCUGGACAAAGACUGACGCUCAGGUGCGAAAGCGUGGGGAGCAAACAGCAUUAGAUACCCCUGUAGUCCCUGUCUCUUAUAC